RNAcentral lists this ribosomal RNA (511 nucleotides) under bacterium enrichment culture clone ALO1_GLFRUDD03G4COY. Its description in RNAcentral is "bacterial SSU rRNA". It matches the Rfam family "Bacterial small subunit ribosomal RNA", at positions 9 to 517 of the family's 1533-position model. The record is from RNAcentral.
GAGUUUGAUCAUGGCUCAGAUUGAACGCUGGCGGCAGGCCUAACACAUGCAAGUCGAGCGGAUGACGGGAGCUUGCUCCUUGAUUCAGCGGCGGACGGGUGAGUAAUGCCUAGGAAUCUGCCUGGUAGUGGGGGACAACGUUUCGAAAGGAACGCUAAUACCGCAUACGUCCUACGGGAGAAAGCAGGGGACCUUCGGGCCUUGCGCUAUCAGAUGAGCCUAGGUCGGAUUAGCUAGUUGGUGGGGUAAUGGCUCACCAAGGCGACGAUCCGUAACUGGUCUGAGAGGAUGAUCAGUCACACUGGAACUGAGACACGGUCCAGACUCCUACGGGAGGCAGCAGUGGGGAAUAUUGGGCAAUGGGCGAAAGCCUGAUCCAGCCAUGCCGCGUGUGUGAAGAAGGUCUUCGGAUUGUAAAGCACUUUAAGUGGAGGAAGGGCAGUAAGUUAAUACCUUGCUGUUUUGACGUUACCGACAGAAUAAGCACCGGCUAACUCUGUGCCAGCCGCCG